Molecule: long non-coding RNA, 231 nt
Filed under: Homo sapiens (human)
Lineage: Eukaryota; Metazoa; Chordata; Mammalia; Primates; Hominidae
Description: non-protein coding lnc-ZNRF4-1:1
Source: RNAcentral
AUGUCCUUAGCCACCCCUUUCUGGCUGUUGCUGCACAGCCCUGCUUACAAGAGACCCAAGGCAGCCACACCUCACCCCAUGGCCAUGGGCCUCAUGAAGGUGGUGCCCAGGGAGAUCGGCUCCCACCACCUCAUGUGGAGAGAACCUCAAAAGGAGACCUUUGAUGCUCUCCGGGAAGAUGAGAUGAUCCUCACCCCCGACGUAGCCCUGGCCAUGGCUCCUCCUUCUUGA